Non-coding RNA from Gossypium hirsutum (cotton), 138 nucleotides. NCBI's taxonomy places the organism in Eukaryota, Viridiplantae, Streptophyta, Magnoliopsida, Malvales, Malvaceae. The record is from Rfam.
UGUUAAAAAAUUCAUCAAAUUUUACUAUUAAAAACUGACAAAAUAAUUAAACAGUGAUACAUGGUAUGCUACAUAUACCUCGUGUUGAUGUACAAGGACCAAUUUUUAACAGUAGAAGUGGGUGAAGACUGUUUGAUA